This 229-nucleotide long non-coding RNA is filed under the name Ananas comosus (pineapple). Its description in RNAcentral is "long non-coding RNA (ACOM_LNC022765)". Lineage: Eukaryota; Viridiplantae; Streptophyta; Magnoliopsida; Poales; Bromeliaceae. The record is from RNAcentral.
UACUAGACAUUGAUACUUCUAGUUUCCUUCUCCCCCUCCCCCCUCUUAUAAUUUGCUCUCAUCGCGAUACGCGAAACGCAAUAUUACUUACAAAAACAAACAGAAUAUUUUUUCAACAUACUUUCUCACCGCACGUAACGUAAUUUUUCCGCAAUCCCAAACCAAAUCUAAAUGCUAUUUGUAAAUCUCAUAUCUUAUACUCAACCUAUCUAAUAAGUGAGAAUAUUUU